GCCCCAUUAGGAAGAUUUCCCAUAAUUGAUAGGAAGUUCCGUAUGACAAUCUAAACGCAGCACCAAACAAAAAACUUGUUCUUUGUGGCGUUGUAUGUGUGAUUUGGAACGGGUCUAUGAGGGUU
RNAcentral lists this small nucleolar RNA (125 nucleotides) under Vigna radiata var. radiata (mung bean). RNAcentral describes it as "Small nucleolar RNA Z112". It matches the Rfam family "Small nucleolar RNA Z112". Rfam says of the family: Z112 is a member of the C/D class of snoRNA which contain the C (UGAUGA) and D (CUGA) box motifs. Most of the members of the box C/D family function in directing site-specific 2'-O-methylation of substrate RNAs. Lineage: Eukaryota; Viridiplantae; Streptophyta; Magnoliopsida; Fabales; Fabaceae. The record is from Rfam by way of RNAcentral.